RNAcentral lists this ribosomal RNA (431 nucleotides) under uncultured bacterium. RNAcentral describes it as "partial 16S ribosomal RNA". It matches the Rfam family "Bacterial small subunit ribosomal RNA", at positions 30 to 507 of the family's 1533-position model. The record is from RNAcentral.
CGAACGCUGGCGGCAUGCCUACCACAUGCAAGUCGACCGAGACCUUCGGGUCUAGUGGCGCACGGGUGCGUAACGCGUGGGAACCUGCCCUUAGGUUCGGAAUAACUCCCCGAAAGGGGUGCUAAUACCGGAUAAUGUCUUCGGACCAAAGAUUUAUCGCCUUUGGAUGGGCCCGCGUUGGAUUAGCUAGUUGGUAGGGUAAAAGCCUACCAAGGCGACGAUCCAUAGCUGGUCUGAGAGGAUGAUCAGCCACACUGGGACUGAGACACGGCCCAGACUCCUACGGGAGGCAGCAGUGGGGAAUAUUGGACAAUGGGCGAAAGCCUGAUCCAGCAAUGCCGCGUGAGUGAUGAAGGCCUUAGGGUUGUAAAGCUCUUUUACCCGGGAUGAUAAUGACAGUACCGGGAGAAUAAGCUCCGGCUAACUCCGUG